AUUGUACUUCCUCCGUCCCAUAUUAAGUGUUGAAAUAUUACAUGUAUCUAGAUGCUUAUUAGGUAUAGAUACAUCCAUAUUUGGGCAAAUUUGAGACACUUAAUAUGUGAUGGAGGGAGUAUGUU
Brachypodium distachyon (stiff brome) is the source of this 125-nucleotide non-coding RNA. The record is from Rfam. NCBI's taxonomy places the organism in Eukaryota, Viridiplantae, Streptophyta, Magnoliopsida, Poales, Poaceae.